CCCUUAGAUGUUCUGGGCCGCACGCGCGCUACACUGAUGAAUUCAACGAGCUCCUAACCUAGGCCGAAGGGUCCGGGUAAUCUUUGAAAUUUCAUCGUGAUGGGGAUAGAUUAUUGCAAUUAUUAAUCUUCAACGAGGAAUUCCUAGUAAGUGCGAGUCAUCAGCUCGCGUUGAUUACGUCCCUGCCCUUUGUACACACCGCCCGUCGCUCCUACCGAUUGAAUGGUCCGGUGAAAUGUUCGGAUCGCGGCAAAUCGGACGGGUAACCGUCAGGUUCGCUGCGAGAAGUUCAUUAAACCUUAUCAUUUAGAGGAAGGAGAAGUCGUAACA
Molecule: ribosomal RNA, 330 nt
Filed under: uncultured eukaryote
Lineage: Eukaryota
Description: partial 18S ribosomal RNA
Rfam family: Eukaryotic small subunit ribosomal RNA
Source: RNAcentral